This is an RNA transcript of Schistocerca piceifrons (Central American locust), 4740 nucleotides long. It is a transcript of the gene named serine/threonine-protein kinase PRP4 homolog, with no coding region annotated. The transcript is spliced from 18 exons. The record is from RefSeq and is a predicted model, not a curated record. NCBI's taxonomy places the organism in Eukaryota, Metazoa, Arthropoda, Insecta, Orthoptera, Acrididae.
GGCAAGGAGGAACACAAGCGACUCGUAAUUCGAGAAAUUGCUGUUCAAGAUGGCGGCAUAAAAACUUGUGCUGUAGUUGUGGAAUACGUGUAAUAUCUAUUUAAUAAUUUAAAGUACAGAUUUUAACAACUUUAAUUAAAGAUGAGCCCAGUUGACUCGCAUUCCGAUGCCUCUGUUGAAGUGUUAAAUGACAAGAAAGUAGCAGAGAAUGAAGGGGCCGAUAUUGUAAAGAAAUCUAAGAAAAAGAAACAUAAGCAUCAUCAUAAGCACAAGAAACACCUAAGUGAUAAAGACGGGAAACAUGAAAAAAAACACCACAAGAAAAAGAAGCACAAGAAAGCUGCCGAAGUCCCUGAUGCUGCUGAAGAAAUUAAGCCAAAGGAAAACAUAUCUAUUAAAAUAUCAUCUGAUGGCUCAAAGAGAGAAGUCAGAGAAGCAAGUAAACCAAAAAGUGAGGAAAAAAUUGAAUCAAAAGAGACCAAAAUGUUGAACGGGAGUGACACGGCUCAUAAAGUAGAGCAGAAAGUCAAGAGUGUAGAGCCUCAGAAGAAACAUGACAGCAGUAAAAAUGGUGAUACAAAAAAUGAGAUAAAAGACAAAAGUGUAAAAGACGCCAGUGUAAAAGUUACUGUGGGGAAGGAUGAUAGUGUCAAAAGUUUAGGAACUAAAGAAAAUGGUGAGAAGUGCUUAGUUGUGAAGAAUCAUAAUUCAAAAGAAUCACAUGUGGUUGAUAUAGUUAGUAAGAAUAAAGGAAACAAAGAAACAGUCUUGAAACCUUCACCAGCUAAAACACAUUUAAGUACAAAGAGUGAAGACUCAUCUGAAGAUAAUGACAUUAGAGCUAAAGACUCAGAGUCUGACAUAGACAUUACUGUAAUAGAAGAUGACAUUGAUCUUGAGGAUCUCAUGCGACAAAAGGCACUGCUUCAAGCGAGACUCGGAGCAUAUAUGUCUGAAGAAGAUGAUGAAGAUGAUGAUGAUGAUCGAUCUGAACUCCGUGGAGAUGCUAAACCAGUUCCUGAAAUAAUAACUUUAGGUGAUGAUGACUCUGACGUAAAAGGGCAUUCAAGUAAGAGAAAACAUGAAAGGAAGAGACGUCGGCAUAGCAGGAGCAAGAGCAGACAUAGAGAAGAUAAACGAGAUGAUAAACGGAAAGAAACCAGAGAAGAGAGAGACCGUGACAGGAAAAGGAGCACAUCAGAUGUAUUGCGAGAUGUGAAGAGAAUCAGAGAGAGUCAUAGUUCAUCCAGACGAAAAUCUGCUGAUAGAUCUCCUCUUAGGUCAUAUGAUGGAAGAAGAUCAUCAGAUAGAAAAAUUAGGGAUGAUGUUUGUAGAAGAACUGGUAUUGCCAAGGAAUCUUCAAGAAGAAGAAGCAGCAGAAGCCGUUCUCCAGUUCAUCAUGGUUCAUCACGUUCAUAUAGCAGAACUCGAGAAGCGAACAGUCACCGCUCACUGGACAGAGAUCGUGAACGUGAUCGAGAAAGAGAACGUGAGAGGGAACGGGACCGAGAACGUGAGCGGGAAAGGGAACGUGAACGUGAAAGAGAGCGAGAAAGGGAACGUGAUAGGGAACGUGAAAGGGAACGUGAGCGAGAAAGACUUAGACUUGAACGUGAUAGAGAACGUGAGCGUCAUCGUGAUCAUGACAGAGAUCACGAUCGUGACCACAGUCGACGACAUGGCCGUUCCAGGAGUAGGGAUCGACAUCAUUCAUCCAGAGGUCACUCCAGUAGGUCCCGUCAUGGUAAAGGGAGAGGAGAAAGAAAUGAUAAGUACAAAGACAGUCUGUCGGAAGGCUUGAAAGCUGAAAAAUCUUCGUCUGAAGAAGAGUGUUGUGAUUUUGACAUUGAAGAAGAUGAAGAUGAAGAACAAAUUAUUGAAAAGAGAAGGAAACAGCGGGAGGAACUACUAAGAAGGUUGGGAGCAUUAAGUGAAGAUUCUAAUGCUUCGAAUAUGAACAUGUCUGGGCAAAGCAGUGUUUGUGAGAAACCAGUUAACUGUCCUGACAAUUGCAAACCAAAUGUACCUGAAAUAAAAACUGAGACAAUUAAAACAGAAGAUGAUAAUGAGGACUCAAAACCAAAGGAGAAAAGAAAAUCACGCUUUACAUCAUAUGAUCCAGCUGCUGUUAAGGAAGAAGAAGAUGACAAAGAAAAUAAGCAAGAAAGGAAAGAUCGUAAAGAUGGGAAGAAAAAUGAAUGGGAUAUGUUUGCUGAGGGUGACAAUUUAGAGGCACUAAAUAGUCCAAGUACAGUUGAUAAAGCCCAUGGUGGUCCAGAAAAUCCUAGUCUCACUGAUAACUGGGAUGAUGCGGAAGGAUAUUAUAGGGUCAGAAUUGGGGAAAUCAUGGAUGGUCGAUAUGUUGUUUAUGGAUACACUGGUCAAGGCGUAUUUUCAAAUGUAAUACGAGCUAGAGAUAGUGCAAGAGGUAAUAUGGAUGUGGCAGUGAAAAUAAUACGCAACAAUGAAAUUAUGCAUAAAACAGGAUUAAAGGAACUAGAAGUUCUGAGGCGUCUGAAUGAUGCAGAUCCUGAUGACAAAUUCCACUGUUUGAGACUAUUCAGGCAUUUUUUUCACAAAAACCAUUUGUGCAUGGUGUUUGAACCUUUGAGUAUGAACUUGAGAGAGGUUUUGAAGAAAUACGGAAAAGAUGUUGGGCUUCAUGUAAAAGCAGUUCGUUCUUAUAGCCAGCAGUUAUUUUUAGCCCUGAAACUUUUAAAGAAGGCAAACAUUCUCCAUGCAGAUAUUAAACCUGACAAUAUCUUAGUUAGUGAGAGUAAACUAGUAUUAAAAUUGUGUGACUUUGGAUCUGCUUCACAUGUGGCUGAAAAUGAAAUUACACCUUACUUAGUGAGCAGGUUCUACCGAGCACCUGAAAUAAUUCUAGGCAUACCAUAUGAUUUUGGGAUUGAUAUGUGGUCAGCUGGUUGCACCAUAUAUGAACUGUAUACAGGAAAAAUCAUGUUUGCUGGAAAAACAAAUAACCAGAUGUUAAAAUUUUUUAUGGAUCUCAAGGGCAAAAUGCCAAAUAAACUUAUCAGAAAAGGAUCAUUCAAAGAACAGCAUUUUGAUAGUAAUUGUAAUUUCCUAUAUCAUGAAGUUGAUAAAGUGACUGAAAGGGAGAAAGUAGUGGUCAUGUCAACGAUUAAUCCUACUAGAGAUCUGCUCUCAGAACUGAUUGGUAAUCAGAAUCUUCCAGAGGACCAAUUGAGAAAAGUAAACCAGCUGAAGGAUUUGCUUGAGAAAAUUCUUAUGUUAGACUCCUCAAAACGUGCUGCAAUCAACCAAGCUUUGACUCACCCAUUCAUCCAGGAGAAGAUAUGAGCUGUACUCAUUUGAGACCAAGUUGAAAUGUUGUUGAGAGAGAAUAGAGCAGAAUCGAGGGCUGCUCUGGCAAGGGCAGAAUGUGGCCUCAUGUCUGGGGUGUGCAGUAUCUUCAGACGUGUAACAGUUUCAAGCAUAACGACUCCUUGGUUAUGAAGAUUUACGGAUGCAGACCAUUUUACUUCUUUGGCAAAGACCAAGUUUAAGCAUCCCAAGGUAUUUCUUUUAACUCUUUUUGAAGGUUUUAAUUUAUUUUUUCUCAUAUACUGAAGUGGUAGGUGAGUAUACGAGCAUGUGAAAUGGAGAAAAUUGCAAUAUGCAGUUUUCUACAGUGUUAGCAGGAAAAACUAAAGAUUCAGGGAACACACACCUUUUAAAUUUGUUAAUUGACUUCUGGUGACACUUUGCGGACAACAUUUUAAUAUUGUUUGUGAACAUAUUAUUUGAAAAGUUUUUUGCAGAUUUGGUUUUUUUAGUUUUUUAAUUUUUUCUUGUAAUGGAAGUUAUUUGUUUUAUGACUAUGAUAUACUGUAUCUACCCAAGUAUAAGAUGACCCUGAAUAUAAGGUGACAAUCAUACUGGCUUGGCUGAGAACUAGAAUGGGUGUGGGGAGGGGACGUUCAGGCCAUUUAAUAAUUCGUUCAUUUUCAUGAUAUAAGAAGAAAUAAAAUCUUCACUGUCUUUUUGUGUACGAAGUCUGUCAUCUGUGGUAUCAUUACUUUUAAUCAUCAUCGUCCUAAUAGCACAGUUUUGAAAUUUAUAUCUGAGGUUAUUGGUUAUUGGUUACAGUGAAAACUGAGAUUGCAAAUAUUCAUAUCAGAUUUUACUUCUAUACUGAUGUCAGAAUGUUAGUGUGUUUCUUCCUUCCAAACAUAUUGCCUACUCGCUGCUCUCUCUUUGGCUGCGGCAACUGACCCCUCCAUACCAUAUUCGUCCCCAUUAUACUUCACAGUGUGCAUAGACAACAUUAUUGCAGGGAACACAUAAGUAUGCCUCUCAUCCUACCUGGACUUUUACUGUCUUGUGCAGAAAUGUAUACCAUUGUUGUUCAUUUGUCCAAUUGUAAAUUUAAUUCAAAUGAAUUCAGGCGAACUGUGGCAUUAUAGGUUCCCACAGUUGGCAGCUUGACAUAAUUUGCUGUGUGUUCACUGCUCCCCUCACCACACCCAUCCUAAUUCUCAGCCAGGCCGAUCACUGUUCCCUCUCUAACCCUUUCAUAAUUCUGUGCUGAGCAGCUUUGAAACAUGGACUGCAAUAUCUGCUAGGGUCCAGGUCAUAUGUAACACCACCAACUAACACGUAAAUAAAAGAUUGCGAUCAUGCUUCAGUAAAAAUUUUAAAAUUUUGCUCGUCCUGGCAUUCUAAUGGUACCUGUUGGUACUAUGUCCACAACGAGGUUGGUACUAUCUCCACGAC